AGAGGAAACUGUAGGGGGUUUUC
RNAcentral lists this non-coding RNA (23 nucleotides) under Cricetulus griseus (Chinese hamster). Lineage: Eukaryota; Metazoa; Chordata; Mammalia; Rodentia; Cricetidae. The record is from RNAcentral.